GAUAUGCGGUCACAUGACGGACAGGGCUGUAUUAAGUGAGCGUUUUGGUUGAGUAGGGGGGAUGAUUGAACUUGUCUUUGGGUGGAUGUCGAAGAAUAAGACCGACACUCGCUGCUAAUCCCGUCUCCUCUUCAGGGCAUAUAUAGGAGGUAACUGAAAUCCAAGAUGGCUGAUGAAGAAGAAGUCGUGGAGGUGGAACAACCAAAGAACUACAGACUCUUCACAACCUGCUCAAACUCUUGGUACAGGACCUCACCACACGGGUCAAGAAGGUUUCCGUCUCAUUUCUACUCUGAAGCUCACCUUCUCCUGCUCAAACUGCUGACAAAUGUUUCUGCUGCUCUAAAGUCUGGUCUCCAGAACUUCCUAAAAACUCUCAAAGUCUCUUCUGCUGCAGGUUGCUUUGUAGAACUGUUCCAGAAAACCUCACUAAACUACAUGGAAAGGCCUCAAGAUAGUCGUCCAAAUGAAACUGUACAAAAACCAAACUAGCACAACCCAAACACUAAAGUCUCCUGCAGCCUACCAGAGAACCUCUGAGAACAGAGAAUCAGGACAGGAACUCUUACCUUCUGGACAACCAACGUUAGUUCUCAAACAAGAAUACAGAAUGUGUCUGACCAAAAACCUCUGAAGACUCACUACAGCCAAGAUAAAGACACAACUCAGCUGCACCAAAUCCACUAAUCACUGCAUACAUUAGCACCAUGUGCUAACUGUGGCUAAAGAACCACAUUUACCAAGACAACUAUCCAGUACAAAGCCCUAAAACACACCAAGAAACACAUUAAAGAUGAUUUUACUGCUGGAAGCUGCAAGCCAACGCCUAAAGAACAAACUAACGCAAUGGAGCCAAACCCAGUUCAGUGGUGAAGAGAAGCAGAGGAAAUGUUUGUCUGCAGCUAAAUAAAGCAGGAAGACACUGAGCUGCUCAGGUGUUCCUGAUAACACCAAUCAGCCACCUGGACAGCCAAUAGGAACACAGCUUACUGGAAGUCCAGAGGGCUGGCUUAGUGAAGGAAAUUUAAUUUAAAGUUGAAGCAGAAAGUUAACAAAGAAAGUUGAAAACCACCUUCUGAUACCUGAAAUCUCUGAGUUUUCACACAAAGAACACCUGAACAUGUCAAACUGGUUCCAUAGUAGAACCAUCAUUGUAAAAACGUCAUAGUAUGGUGUGUUGCUCAAAAAACAUUAGGACCCGGCUGUCAGGGGACAAACAUGUAAGAAACAUGAGAACAGAGAGAACCCAACCAGUAGGUCACAGUUUAUCAUCCCCCAGUCAUCUCCCGAAGUCCAUAUGGUGAGAGACAUCAGUAUCUGGUUGUUAAUUUACCAGAGGAUGCUUAUAAUCAUGCUGAUGUGGUCUGUACUCUACAGUAUUUUAGUGACUCAAUAAAUGCCUAAGUUGUUUUUUUAAAAAUGCUUUUUAGUUUUUAAUCAACAUUUAAGGGCCUAUAUGUGAUCAAUAAAUGGCCUUUGCCUAUCUUAAGAAAAAUUCACUCAGAACUCUGAUAUAUUAACAGUACUAAAUAAAUCAAUAAAUACAUGCAUACACACAGAAAUAAGUUAAUACAUUAACUGUGUUAAGAUAAGAUUUAGAUUUUUAAAAAAAAGUUGUUUAUGUUUUUGCAGAAUCCAGUAUUACUCACUGGUUGGUCAUUACAUUUUGUUAGUUUGAUUUCACUGUUUAAAAUGAUGCCACCUCUUUUCAGACAGAACCUGUGAUAAUAAAGCAAUACAAAAUUUUUAGUUCCGUGUUAAUAAAGCACUUAAAGCUUUAAGUAUGGCUAAAUGCUUUUUUCAAAAUUAAAUAUAUCACUCCUUAGGUGGUAGUGGCCCCAAGUUCAGUAAAGUUGGAAAGAUAUUCACAGAUUCGGACUUCCAGCAUCAAUAACUCAUUAGAUAUAGGUUGUCAAAACAUAAACGGUGCCUCUUUCCCAUUGUUGCAAGGCAGACAAUGUGCUACAAGCCCAGUUUUAUCAAAAGUAGCUGUCUUUCAAGCUACAGGAAUAACAUUGGUGUCUAUGGAGUGAACAGGGUCCGUCUGCAAUUAGCAAAACCGCUGCAACAGUAAAGAGAGACAAAUAUUCAAUAACUUCACUCUUAUACAUUGUAGUGUCACUAAAAUCACUGCAGCCUUCAACUGGCUCCUGUUGACAAAGUGUUUUAACAGAAAUGUAAAUGCUGUAAUUUGAUUCUUUUAAUGAACCAUGUAACUUGAAUGGAUGUGAUGCUGGUGUGACCACAGUGCACACGUCUUAUGUUGCUCACAGUGGUCCAAGGGACGCUCAGGGAGUUUGUGUGUUUGUUCAGACUCAUGAAAAUUUAGAGGGAACAUUGGUCAUAUUGUACAUUUUUCUCCAGAAUUUGUCCUCCUAAUUUUACACUUUAAUAGGAUUUUAAUUGCAGGAUUUCAGUUGCAAUGGCAUAUUGUUACACUGUACUUAAAGACUGAUUAAAAAGUCACAUAUAGGACAAACACACACAAUAAACACGAUUAUUUUCCCCCAACUUUUCUCCUUUGUGCCGAGACGCUGCUUUGAUAUCUGACAUGCUACAAACCGCUCACAGGCUCAGUUUGUCAUCCAAGAUCAUUCCCCGUUUGUAGCUUUGUUCAGAAUGAAUGUCAAACACCAGCGCUGUUUUUCAGUGCAUCCCAAGAGACAAUAUCACAGUGCUCAGAGUGUGACCAAAUCCCUCCUGCAAGCUGUUUGCCAGAGUCGCAUUGAUCCACUAAUCCAUAUUUUGUUCACUCAGUCAUGGAAACACUGAAAGAGAAAAGGUUUGUAUGACUUUUUUUGUCUGUAAAUAAUACCCCUUUCUUCUUGUGUUUUUUUUUGUUGUUUUACUUACACUCCUGUGGCAUAUUGUUGUGUGCAUGUGUGUUCUUCUUUUGUCGUGUUUUUGGCAAACAGUAACACAACUUGGCUUCUUUAAUUCUCGUUAGAAAUAGAAGACGCUGCACCUGAAGUAGACGGUAAUUGUCCUGUUUGAACAUAUUUCCAUGUGCCAUUAUAAUUCCAUCUGUGUUUUUAUAGAACAUGAUAAUAUUUAUACACAAAUGUAUUUGUUAUUAAAAUAGUUUCAUGUGUAGUCGUUGUCAAUGCCAUUACAAAUGUUACAUGAACACCUGUUAUAUAUUAGUAACACAGAUUCAGUGAAAAUGCUUUUCAAACACAGUCUCCACCUGCAUGUUACAGUGAAAUUAAAUCAUUAUUAGCUUUCUCAUGUUCAGUAUUUGCUAAUCACUGCUGUGGUUGGCUGCCAAGGAGCCGCCUGCUGAGUUAGAGUUGGAUGAAUUUAUGCCAGAAUGAGAGAUCUAUUUUGUGAAAAUAGGACCAUCUAUUCAGACAAAAAUUACUGUUUAUGCACCAUAAAAAACUCAGUACUGAUAAUUGUUGAGAUUUAGUUUCACCUUUUGCUGAGAAAAUAUCGACAUGUGAGAUAUUUUGUAAUCUGUCUGACCAUUUUUCAUUAUUAUUUCAUGUUUAUUUGACUGCAAAUAUGCAUUUCUUAUUUUAAAAGAGAGAUUGUUAUCCUGUAGCAUGAAAUCUAAUCAUAUUUUCAUUCUUUCUCACC
This is a long non-coding RNA of Amphiprion ocellaris (clown anemonefish), 3579 nucleotides long. RefSeq lists it as uncharacterized. The record is from RefSeq and is a predicted model, not a curated record. The transcript is spliced from 3 exons. Lineage: Eukaryota; Metazoa; Chordata; Actinopteri; Pomacentridae.